Long non-coding RNA from Hyla sarda, 1148 nucleotides. RefSeq lists it as uncharacterized. The transcript is spliced from 3 exons. The record is from RefSeq and is a predicted model, not a curated record. Lineage: Eukaryota; Metazoa; Chordata; Amphibia; Anura; Hylidae.
GUUUUGAUAAAUCUCCCCCAGCUUUCCUAGAGCUCCCGGAAUGUUCUUAGUCAGGAAGAUCCGGAAAGCCUUCAGCCUUAAGCUUUCAGAAAAAAUAGGAAAAUCCGGUAAAAUGAAAAGCAUUUUAUCUUCAUAUAAGCCUUUGAGAGUAAACACUGUACACAUUGACCGCCCCGACGGCCGCCGACUCUAUACUAUAGACCCUUUCGAAGAGGAUAGAUGGAUAGACUGUAUCCGUGUCGCCAACGUCCUUUCUCGCUAAAGCAAUGAAAACCGAUGAAGUGUUGAACGUCUCCCAAAUUCUUCAGCUCCAUCCCAGCAGCCCAGGACUCUCCGGAGUACUUCUCAUUGUCAGCUCUAGUAAAAGUGAUUAAAUUGCUCUCCCGAGUCCAGGUACUUCUUACCAAUGUGGUUGGUGUAAUUAAAAACAAUCGUCAUCUCGGUGCAGCUCCGAGGUCUGUAAGAUCCGUGGUAGGAAACUGAUCUACAAAAGGUUUGUGUUUUUUUAGAGAAGAUGAAAGCUUUUCCUCAGUAGACCGGAAUGAAAUGAAGGAAAGAAUAAAAAAGCCCCAUCAGACUAAACGCUGGGAGAUCUGCCAAGAAUAAACUUGGAAAUUGCAUUUAAAAUCACAGCUGUGAAGUGAACUUUGGGAAACCCUGGGCGAGAAGGAAAGUUAGGUCCUUGGGGGCCAGUAAUGAGACGAUUGCAGGGAUGAUGGGAUCGGAGCAAUGUCAUGAUCAGUGAGUUAGAUUCUUUGUUAGAGAUACAUGAGCCUCCUAUUCAGUGGUAUUUGCUCCUUGCCCAUAUAUAACAGGGUGAUCUUUGAGUUCUGCGUGAGGUCACAGUACACUUAUUUUUGAAAUAUGGAAUAAGACAGGACUAUCAUAAUAUCUAUAACAGAGCUGACGUCUUAUAAGCCCUACAACUAAGUGAUCGACCAAAGGGGCCAUUUAACCGGUUGCUGAUCUGUAACAAGUGAGAUCAUUGGUCAGGAGGGUGGGUAGAGGGAGUGCUGUCCUAGUGCAGAAACCGAUUUUGAAGACAGCAACGGAAAACGGUGCAAUUUUUUAUACUCCAUUAUAGCUAUUUUAAAACCCAAAUACAUAUUUGGUGUUACCAAGAAAAGACUCAAUUCAUUAUCUAAUGA